UAAAUGCCUCUGUACUGUUAGG
Molecule: non-coding RNA, 22 nt
Filed under: Rattus norvegicus (Norway rat)
Lineage: Eukaryota; Metazoa; Chordata; Mammalia; Rodentia; Muridae
Source: RNAcentral